RNAcentral lists this ribosomal RNA (439 nucleotides) under uncultured bacterium. Its description in RNAcentral is "bacterial SSU rRNA". It matches the Rfam family "Bacterial small subunit ribosomal RNA", at positions 959 to 1397 of the family's 1533-position model. The record is from RNAcentral.
ACGCGUGGAACCUUACCAGGUCUUGACAUCCCGCUGACCGGUCUGGAGACAGAUCUUCCCCUUCGGGGGCAGCGGUGACAGGUGGUGCAUGGUUGUCGUCAGCUCGUGUCGUGAGAUGUUGGGUUAAGUCCCGCAACGAGCGCAACCCUUGAUCUUAGUUGCCAGCAUUCAGUUGGGCACUCUAAGGUGACUGCCGGUGACAAACCGGAGGAAGGUGGGGAUGACGUCAAAUCAUCAUGCCCCUUAUGACCUGGGCUACACACGUGCUACAAUGGAUGGUACAAAGGGCUGCAAGACCGCGAGGUUUAGCCAAUCCCAUAAAACCAUUCUCAGUUCGGAUUGUAGGCUGCAACUCGCCUACAUGAAGCCGGAAUCGCUAGUAAUCGCGGAUCAGCAUGCCGCGGUGAAUACGUUCCCGGGCCUUGCACUCACCGCCCGU